Molecule: ribosomal RNA, 496 nt
Filed under: uncultured bacterium
Lineage: Bacteria
Description: partial 16S ribosomal RNA
Rfam family: Bacterial small subunit ribosomal RNA
Source: RNAcentral
GAUGAACGCUGGCGGCGUGCCUAAUACAUGCAAGUCGAGCGAACAGACGAGGAGCUUGCUCCUCUGACGUUAGCGGCGGACGGGUGAGUAACACGUGGAUAACCUACCUAUAAGACUGGGAUAACUUCGGGAAACCGGAGCUAAUACCGGAUAAUAUAUUGAACCGCAUGGUUCAAUAGUGAAAGACGGUUUUGCUGUCACUUAUAGAUGGAUCCGCGCCGCAUUAGCUAGUUGGUAAGGUAACGGCUUACCAAGGCAACGAUGCGUAGCCGACCUGAGAGGGUGAUCGGCCACACUGGAACUGAGACACGGUCCAGACUCCUACGGGAGGCAGCAGUAGGUAAUCUUCCGCAAUGGGCGAAAGCCUGACGGAGCAACGCCGCGUGAGUGAUGAAGGUCUUCGGAUCGUAAAACUCUGUUAUUAGGGAAGAACAAAUGUGUAAGUAACUAUGCACGUCUUGACGGUACCUAAUCAGAAAGCCACGGCUAACUACGU